AUCUAUUCAAAGCAGAUAUGUGAGGAAAAGAACAAAUUUGCAUCGUCAGAGUUUGGAAUUAACAUGAAGCUUAGACUGUGCCUUGUACAUGGCAUCCAGGCUGAGGGGUUGCACAACUGUACAAGCCAUGUCCCUGGCCCAAGUUGGAUCUGCUAGAACAAAAGAAGACUUCUUUAAUAAUUUGCACAAAGAGAGAAAAGUAAGGGAGCAUUAACAGAUACAUAAAUUCAUUGUGAAGCUGCAAUGGCAACAAUAUGGAUCCAGUGGGGAAAGAACUAAAAAAAAAA
Molecule: long non-coding RNA, 287 nt
Organism: Fukomys damarensis (Damara mole-rat)
Lineage: Eukaryota; Metazoa; Chordata; Mammalia; Rodentia; Bathyergidae
Exons: 3
Source: RefSeq, a predicted model, not a curated record